Molecule: ribosomal RNA, 305 nt
Filed under: uncultured bacterium
Lineage: Bacteria
Description: bacterial SSU rRNA
Rfam family: Bacterial small subunit ribosomal RNA
Source: RNAcentral
CUCCCUACGGGAGGCAGCAGUGGGGAAUAUUGCACAAUGGGGGAAACCCUGAUGCAGCAACGCCGCGUGAAGGAAGACGGUUUUCGGAUUGUAAACUUCCGUUCUUAGUGAAGAAGAAUGACGGUAGCUAAGGAGCAAGCCACGGCUAACUACGUGCCAGCAGCCGCGGUAAUACGUAGGUGGCAAGCGUUGUCCGGAAUUACUGGGUGUAAAGGGAGCGCAGGCGGGAAGCCAAGUCAGCUGUGAAAACUACGGGCUUAACUUGUAGACUGCAGUCGAAACUGGCUUUCUUGUGUGCAGAAGAG